RNAcentral lists this long non-coding RNA (930 nucleotides) under Mustela putorius furo (domestic ferret). RNAcentral describes it as "lncRNA (ENSMPUG00000027599.1)". The record is from RNAcentral. Lineage: Eukaryota; Metazoa; Chordata; Mammalia; Carnivora; Mustelidae.
AUGGAGACUUGGGGCAGAUAUCGGCUUUUUGCCUACACACUGGACCUGAAUCUGUUUUUCAGAGACCUUCGGACUGACACAUUUCAGACAGUAUCUGUUGUUGAUAUUAAGAUUGCACUAUUUUCCCAGGAACUUGGAGACCCACUAGGUAAUCCUAUAAAAAAAAAAAAUAAAAAUUAGGCAAAUUCAACACCAUAGAAUGUAUUAGCAAUCUGUGUCAAAACCAAGAGCUUAUGUAUCACAUAUGCUAAUUAAUUCAGGAAGGGUCAAAUUCCAGUUAUGACAUUCAGGCAGUAGCCUCAUGGAAACUCAUUCAGCUAAAAUCUAAAUAAUUAAUUUUUUCCUUUUUUCACUUUUACUUUUGAUGGAUUUUAAGUUCACAGAAUGGAAUUAAUCCUAUUUACAUUCAUCCUUAUUUCAUGCAAGCCCAUAUCUGUCUCUAUUUAUCUAUCAUCUAUCUACUAAUUGUUUAUAGUUAAAAAAGUAACAUAUAUCUGAAUAUUAGAACAAUUACAAUAAAUUAGAACUUAACAACCUUUGUGUUCCUUCCCCAUGUCCUCCUCAUUCAUUUCUCUGACAUUGCUCUUUCUUUUCUAAAUCGUGUACCCCUUAUACUCUUGCUUUUAUUUUUAUAUGAUUUAAUAAUUUGUAUACUGUCUAUAGGUAUGAUGAAAGGACAUGAGAGAUAUUUCAAUCAUAACUGUGAGGAACCCCCUCCCCAAGGAACCAACUGUACUCUAAAGGUCAGAAAGAAAGGGAAUGAGCAAGCAAAUGGGUGUUAGCUUAGAAAUGCUACAUAAAUAUCUUUGUUCUGAUUUCAAGCUCACACCAUAAUCUAAUAAAUUCUUAGUAGGUUCCAAGUAAAUUGCCUAGAGAUAAAAAUGUUCUAAGAACUUCACAAAAUGUUUUGUCUAUGUUUGCAUUUUUCCU